Molecule: transfer RNA, 57 nt
Filed under: Hypodontus macropi
Lineage: Eukaryota; Metazoa; Nematoda; Chromadorea; Rhabditida; Strongylidae
Description: tRNA-Thr
Source: RNAcentral
GCUAAUUUAGUUUAUUAAAGAAUUUGUAACUUGUAAUUACAGGGAUUGAAUUAGCUU